Molecule: long non-coding RNA, 154 nt
Organism: Octopus sinensis (East Asian common octopus)
Lineage: Eukaryota; Metazoa; Mollusca; Cephalopoda; Octopoda; Octopodidae
Exons: 3
Source: RefSeq, a predicted model, not a curated record
CGGUAAAGCUACACACGUGUCUGUACUGGCACGAAGGCUGGGGUUAGCUUUUCCGUUUACAUUACUAUGAACGGAUGCACUGAAGAAGCACGGACAUUUGGAGUGCAUAAGUAAUUCUCUUGUUAAGGCUGAAACCGAGGAUGACAGAAUACGA